UCCAAGGCUAAAUACUCCUGACUGACCGAUAGUGAACCAGUACCGUGAGGGAAAGGCGAAAAGAACCCCGGCGAGGGGAGUGAAAAAGAACCUGAAACCGUGUACGUACAAGCAGUGGGAGCACCUUUAUGGUGUGACUGCGUACCUUUUGUAUAAUGGGUCAGCGACUUAUAUUCUGUAGCAAGGUUAACCGUAUAGGGGAGCCGCAGGGAAACCGAGUCUUAACUGGGCGUUAAGUUGCAGGGUAUAGACCCGAAACCCGGUGAUCUAGCCAUGGGCAGGUUGAAGGUUGGGUAACACUAACUGGAGGACCGAACCGACUAAUGUUGAAAAAUUAGCGGAUGACUUGUGGCUGGGGGUGAAAGGCCAAUCAAACCGGGAGAUAGCUGGUUCUCCCCGAAAGCUAUUUAGGUAGCGCCUCGUGAACUCAUCUUCGGGGGUAGAGCACUGUUUCGGCUAGGGGGUCAUCCCGACUUACCAACCCGAUGCAAACUACGAAUACCGAAGAAUGUUAUCACGGGAGACACACGGCGGGUGCUAACGUCCGUCGUGAAGAGGGAAACAACCCAGACCGCCAGCUAAGGUCCCAAAGUCAUGGUUAAGUGGGAAACGAUGUGGGAAGGCACAGACAGCCAGGAUGUUGGCUUAGAAGCAGCCAUCAUUUAAAGAAAGCGUAAUAGCUCACUGGUCGAGUCGGCCUGCGCGGAAGAUGUAACGGGGCUAAACCAUGCACCGAAGCUGCGGCAGCGACACGAUGUGUUGUUGGGUAGGGGAGCGUUCUGUAAGCCUGCGAAGGUGACCUGUGAGGGUUGCUGGAGGUAUCAGAAGUGCGAAUGCUGACAUAAGUAACGAUAAAGCGGGUGAAAAGCCCGCUCGCCGGAAGACCAAGGGUUCCUGUCCAACGUUAAUCGGGGCAGGGUGAGUCGACCCCUAAGGCGAGGCCGAAAGGCGUAGUCGAUGGGAAACAGGUUAAUAUUCCUGUACUUGGUGUUACUGCGAAGGGGGGACGGAGAAGGCUAUGUUAGCCGGGCGACGGUUGUCCCGGUUUAAGCAUGUAGGCUGGUUAUCCAGGCAAAUCCGGAUAAUCAAGGCUGAGGUGUGAUGACGAGGCACUACGGUGCUGAAGUAACAAAUGCCCUGCUUCCAGGAAAAGCCUCUAAGCAUCAGGUAACAUCAAAUCGUACCCCAAACCGACACAGGUGGUCAGGUAGAGAAUACCAAGGCGCUUGAGAGAACUCGGGUGAAGGAACUAGGCAAAAUGGUGCCGUAACUUCGGGAGAAGGCACGCUGGUGUGUAGGUGAAGUCCCUGCGGAUGGAGCUGAGACCAGUCGAAGAUACCAGCUGGCUGCAACUGUUUAUUAAAAACACAGCACUGUGCAAACACGAAAGUGGACGUAUACGGUGUGACGCCUGCCCGGUGCCGGAAGGUUAAUUGAUGGG
RNAcentral lists this ribosomal RNA (1441 nucleotides) under Klebsiella quasipneumoniae. Its description in RNAcentral is "partial 23S ribosomal RNA". It matches the Rfam family "Bacterial large subunit ribosomal RNA", at positions 459 to 1888 of the family's 2925-position model. The record is from RNAcentral. Lineage: Bacteria; Pseudomonadati; Pseudomonadota; Gammaproteobacteria; Enterobacterales; Enterobacteriaceae.